UACGAAGGGGGCUAGCGUUGCUCGGAAUCACUGGGCGUAAAGCGCACGUAGGCGGCUUCUUAAGUCAGGGGUGAAAUCCUGGAGCUCAACUCCAGAACUGCCUUUGAUACUGAGAAGCUUGAGUCCGGGAGAGGUGAGUGGAACUGCGAGUGUAGAGGUGAAAUUCGUAGAUAUUCGCAAGAACACCAGUGGCGAAGGCGGCUCACUGGCCCGGUACUGACGCUGAGGAGCGAAAGCAUGGGGAGCGAACAGG
RNAcentral lists this ribosomal RNA (253 nucleotides) under uncultured bacterium. RNAcentral describes it as "partial 16S ribosomal RNA". It matches the Rfam family "Bacterial small subunit ribosomal RNA", at positions 524 to 776 of the family's 1533-position model. The record is from RNAcentral.